UGGGGAAUUUUGGACAAUGGGCGAAAGCCUGAUCCAGCAAUGCCGCGUGUGUGAAGAAGGCCUUCGGGUUGUAAAGCACUUUUGUCCGGAAAGAAAUCCUUGGCUCUAAUACAGUCGGGGGAUGACGGUACCGGAAGAAUAAGCACCGGCUAACUACGUGCCAGCAGCCGCGGUAAUACGUAGGGUGCAAGCGUUAAUCGGAAUUACUGGGCGUAAAGCGUGCGCAGGCGGUUUGCUAAGACCGAUGUGAAAUCCCCGGGCUCAACCUGGGAACUGCAUUGGUGACUGGCAGGCUAGAGUAUGGCAGAGGGGGGUAGAAUUCCACGUGUAGCAGUGAAAUGCGUAGAGAUGUGGAGGAAUACCGAUGGCGAAGGCAGCCCCCUGGGCAAGUACUGACGCUCAUGCACGAAAAGCGUGGGGAGCAAAACAGGAUUAGAUACCCCUGGUAGUCCACGCCCCUAAAANGAUGUCAACUAGUUGUUGGGGGAUUCAUUUCCUUAGUAACGUAGCUAACGCGUGAAGUUGACCGCCUGGGGGAGUACGGUCGCAAGAUUAAAAACUCCAAAGGAAUUGACGGGGGU
This 581-nucleotide ribosomal RNA is filed under the name uncultured bacterium. RNAcentral's name for it is "partial 16S ribosomal RNA". It matches the Rfam family "Bacterial small subunit ribosomal RNA", at positions 355 to 920 of the family's 1533-position model. The record is from RNAcentral.